UCAAAAGCAGCCUGCAGAAAUACUGGAACACUGAGCUCUACACAGCUGCUACUACAGAGAGAAAAAAUAUCACCUGCAAAAGCCACAAAGUUGUCUCUUCAGGGAUGAGACAGUCACCAAGUGAGCAAGCAAAACUGAAGUCAGUACUGAAUGCAACUAAUUGAGUUUAUCCUUGGAGGCUAAUUAAAUUUUAGCAAUUCUAAAGAAA
This is a long non-coding RNA of Pipra filicauda (Wire-tailed manakin), 208 nucleotides long. RefSeq lists it as uncharacterized. The record is from RefSeq and is a predicted model, not a curated record. NCBI's taxonomy places the organism in Eukaryota, Metazoa, Chordata, Aves, Passeriformes, Pipridae. The transcript is spliced from 2 exons.